Molecule: ribosomal RNA, 1453 nt
Filed under: Salmonella enterica
Lineage: Bacteria; Pseudomonadati; Pseudomonadota; Gammaproteobacteria; Enterobacterales; Enterobacteriaceae
Description: partial 23S ribosomal RNA
Rfam family: Bacterial large subunit ribosomal RNA
Source: RNAcentral
UUUAAGCGUGUAGGUGUGUGUUCCAGGUAAAUCCGGUUCACUUUAACACUGAGGCGUGAUGACGAGGCACUACGGUGCUGAAGCAACAAAUGCCCUGCUUCCAGGAAAAGCCUCUAAGCAUCAGGUAACAUCAAAUCGUACCCCAAACCGACACAGGUGGUCAGGUAGAGAAUACCAAGGCGCUUGAGAGAACUCGGGUGAAGGAACUAGGCAAAAUGGUGCCGUAACUUCGGGAGAAGGCACGCUGACAUGUAGGUGAAGUGAUUUACUCAUGGAGCUGAAGUCAGUCGAAGAUACCAGCUGGCUGCAACUGUUUAUUAAAAACACAGCACUGUGCAAACACGAAAGUGGACGUAUACGGUGUGACGCCUGCCCGGUGCCGGAAGGUUAAUUGAUGGGGUCAGCGCAAGCGAAGCUCCUGAUCGAAGCCCCGGUAAACGGCGGCCGUAACUAUAACGGUCCUAAGGUAGCGAAAUUCCUUGUCGGGUAAGUUCCGACCUGCACGAAUGGCGUAAUGAUGGCCAGGCUGUCUCCACCCGAGACUCAGUGAAAUUGAACUCGCUGUGAAGAUGCAGUGUACCCGCGGCAAGACGGAAAGACCCCGUGAACCUUUACUAUAGCUUGACACUGAACAUUGAGCCUUGAUGUGUAGGAUAGGUGGGAGGCUUUGAAGUGUGGACGCCAGUCUGCAUGGAGCCGACCUUGAAAUACCACCCUUUAAUGUUUGAUGUUCUAACGUGGACCCGUGAUCCGGGUUGCGGACAGUGUCUGGUGGGUAGUUUGACUGGGGCGGUCUCCUCCUAAAGAGUAACGGAGGAGCACGAAGGUUGGCUAAUCCUGGUCGGACAUCAGGAGGUUAGUGCAAUGGCAUAAGCCAGCUUGACUGCGAGCGUGACGGCGCGAGCAGGUGCGAAAGCAGGUCAUAGUGAUCCGGUGGUUCUGAAUGGAAGGGCCAUCGCUCAACGGAUAAAAGGUACUCCGGGGAUAACAGGCUGAUACCGCCCAAGAGUUCAUAUCGACGGCGGUGUUUGGCACCUCGAUGUCGGCUCAUCACAUCCUGGGGCUGAAGUAGGUCCCAAGGGUAUGGCUGUUCGCCAUUUAAAGUGGUACGCGAGCUGGGUUUAGAACGUCGUGAGACAGUUCGGUCCCUAUCUGCCGUGGGCGCUGGAGAACUGAGGGGGGCUGCUCCUAGUACGAGAGGACCGGAGUGGACGCAUCACUGGUGUUCGGGUUGUCAUGCCAAUGGCACUGCCCGGUAGCUAAAUGCGGAAGAGAUAAGUGCUGAAAGCAUCUAAGCACGAAACUUGCCCCGAGAUGAGUUCUCCCUGAGACUUAGAGUCUCCUGAAGGAACGUUGAAGACGACGACGUUGAUAGGCCGGGUGUGUAAGCGCAGCGAUGCGUUGAGCUAACCGGUACUAAUGAACCGUGAGGCUUAACCUUACAACGCCGAAG